This 497-nucleotide ribosomal RNA is filed under the name uncultured bacterium. RNAcentral's name for it is "partial 16S ribosomal RNA". It matches the Rfam family "Bacterial small subunit ribosomal RNA", at positions 28 to 507 of the family's 1533-position model. The record is from RNAcentral.
GAUGAACGCUGGCGGCGUGCCUAAUACAUGCAAGUCGAGCGAACGGACGAGAAGCUUGCUUCUCUGAUGUUAGCGGCGGACGGGUGAGUAACACGUGGAUAACCUACCUAUAAGACUGUGAUAACUUCGGGAAACCGGAGCUAAUACCGGAUAAUAUUUUGAACCGCAUGGUUCAAAAGUGAAAGACGGUCUUGCUGUCACUUAUAGAUGGAUCCGCGCUGCAUUAGCUAGUUGGUAAGGUAACGGCUUACCAAGGCAACGAUGCAUAGCCGACCUGAGAGGGUGAUCGGCCACACUGGAACUGAGACACGGUCCAGACUCCUACGGGGGGCAGCAGUAGGGAAUCUUCCGCAAUGGGCGAAAGCCUGACGGAGCAACGCCGCGUGAGUGAUGAAGGUCUUCGGAUCGUAAAACUCUGUUAUUAGGGAAGAACAUAUGUGUAAGUAACUGUGCACAUCUUGACGGUACCUAAUCAGAAAGCCACGGCUAACUACGUG